RNAcentral lists this long non-coding RNA (580 nucleotides) under Gouania willdenowi (blunt-snouted clingfish). RNAcentral describes it as "lncRNA (ENSGWIG00000023375.1)". Lineage: Eukaryota; Metazoa; Chordata; Actinopteri; Blenniiformes; Gobiesocidae. The record is from RNAcentral.
GCAUCAGUUUGAGGUCCAACCUGACAGCUGCCUUGUCCGGUCCCUCUUCCCCGCCCUGUUACUAUUUGGUGGUCAUCUUGUCUUGUCUGAGGAGGAGGGGAGGGGGGUCACAGCCCGGGAUUAAAGAGCAAAUAAACGUACGUAUAGCAAGUGUACUUUUGGGGUCGCGGGUGAGAGGAUUGACCUGGAUUCAGGCUGUCCCUGUCCGUCUCCCCUCCUCUUCCUCUUCCUCUUCCUCUUCCUCUUCCUCACCUUCUCUCUCUAUCUCUCUGCAGUUCACGCGGGACUGUGGGACCGUGUCGGAUCGCUGCCUUCAACUUGGGCUGAAGAAAGACUCGGGAAACUCCUCGGGAUUCUCCGUACACCGAGCACUGAUACGGAUGUUUAGUUUGACGUGCUGAAGUGCAUCAUAAGGAGAAUUCUGGGGAGAUUUCUUACUCUUUCAUUGCUCAAGGAUGAAGCAGCACAGCAGACCUGUGUACUGAAUCAGGUAAGCAUAAUUACUGCGAUGACCUUCAAACAACACUCGCACCCCCAUAAACUUUCUUCCCCCUCCUGUCAAAAGCAGUUAUCCUUCUGG